RNAcentral lists this ribosomal RNA (600 nucleotides) under uncultured bacterium. RNAcentral's name for it is "bacterial SSU rRNA". It matches the Rfam family "Bacterial small subunit ribosomal RNA", at positions 738 to 1337 of the family's 1533-position model. The record is from RNAcentral.
AACUGACGCUGAGGCGCGAAAGUGUGGGGAGCAAACAGGAUUAGAUACCCUGGUAGUCCACACUGUAAACGAUGAAUGCUAGGUGUAGGAGGUAUCGACCCCUUCUGUGCCGCAGUCAACACAAUAAGCAUUCCGCCUGGGGAGUACGGCCGCAAGGUUGAAACUCAAAGGAAUUGACGGGGGCCCGCACAAGCAGCGGAGCAUGUGGUUUAAUUCGACGCAACGCGAAGAACCUUACCAGGUCUUGACAUCCAGUAAAAACCUGAGAGAUCAGGCGUGUCUUCGGACAUACUGAGACAGGUGGUGCAUGGUUGUCGUCAGCUCGUGUCGUGAGAUGUUGGGUUAAGUCCCGCAACGAGCGCAACCCUUGUGUUCAGUUGCUAACAGGUGAAGCUGAGAACUCUGAACAGACUGCCGGGGACAACUCGGAGGAAGGUGGGGACGACGUCAAAUCAUCAUGCCCCUUAUGACCUGGGCUACACACGUGCUACAAUGGCCACCACAGAGAGGAGCAAGCCCGCAAGGGGGAGCAGAUCUCAAAAAAGUGGUCCCAGUUCGGAUUGUGGGCUGCAACCCGCCCACAUGAAGUCGGAGUUGCUA